This is a long non-coding RNA of Egretta garzetta (little egret), 772 nucleotides long. RefSeq lists it as uncharacterized. NCBI's taxonomy places the organism in Eukaryota, Metazoa, Chordata, Aves, Pelecaniformes, Ardeidae. The record is from RefSeq and is a predicted model, not a curated record. The transcript has 3 exons.
GCGCAGUCCCGCUUAGCUGCGCGGAGCUCGCCUCGCCGGCUGCUCUUUCCAGGGAUACCCACGAGAGGCGUGCCCCCGCCCCGUGUUAUUUCUCCCCGUUUCACCCUUUUUAAACCUCAGGAAGCCUCGGUAUUUUUCAGUAAUGUUGCUGUUCCAACAAAUGGGCUGUAUAGCUCGUACAAGGAAAAAUAUGUAUAACUUUAUGCAUGAUGCAAUUUAAACAUAAUUACAGAGGGGAAAUAGUCAGAAGAAAUUCCCCCCUGCCCAUCCUAUUUUUGAUCCUCUGCCUUUCCUGUUUGGAGUUAUCGUCUUCCCAGAUCUUAGAAGCCUAUUCUCUUGAGGAACUGGCAGGUGGAUACCCAUGAGUCAGCUUUGUCUUCUUCAGAAAUAUCAGAACGUUCAUAUGGGUUUUAGCAAAAGCCCCCUCAAAAUCAGGAAGAUGCACCGGUGAACUUCUCUUUGUGUCUUGAAUGUGUACUUGUUUCCACUUCUAAAUAAAACCAAGCCGUUGGCUCAGUAUGUUGAUGCCUUUUGGAACUGGCCUUUUUAAAUCGGUCUCAUUGAGGCUGGACAGGACUUUGGGAGGUCUCUGGUCCGACCACCUGCUCAAAGCUCUGACUUCAGACCAGGUUCCCAAGGACUUCAUUCACUUAAGACCAUCUCAGCUCCAACGUCACCCCGCCCCUGGGUCUGGCCGCCGACCGCUCCCACUGCAGUUACCAGCCCAUGUGCUUCCCCCCAGGUCUUCAAUCGAUGAAGAUGAUUCAUACGG